AGAGUUUGAUCAUGGCUCAGGACGAACGCUGGCGGCGUGCUUAACACAUGCAAGUCACGGGGGCUCGCAAGGGCAACCGGCGAACGGGUGCGUAACACGUGAGGGACCUGCCUGGAAACGGGGGAUAGCCGGCCCAACGGCCGGGUAAUACCGCAUACGCUCUUCGAGGGGCAUCCCUUGGAGAGGAAACCUCCGGGGUUUUCAGAGGGCCUCGCGGCCUAUCAGCUAGUUGGCGGGGUAAUGGCCCACCAAGGCGACGACGGGUAGCUGGUCUGAGAGGAUGGCCAGCCACAUUGGGACUGAGAGACGGCCCAGACUCCUACGGGAGGCAGCAGUGGGGAAUCUUGCGCAAUGGCCGAAAGGCUGACGCAGCGACGCCGCGUGUGGGAGGAAGCUCUUCGGGGUGUAAACCACUGUUGCCCGGGACGAACGAGCGAUUUUGAUCGCUGUGACGGUACCCGGGUGAGGAAGCACCGGCUAACUCUGUGCCCAGCAGCCGCGGUAAUACAGAGGGUGCGAGCGUUGUCCGGAAUCACUGGGCGUAAAGGGCGCGUAGGCGGCUUGGUAAGGUUGCGGUGAAAGCCCGGGGCUCAACCCCGGGGUCGGCCGUGGCAACUGCUGAGCUAGAGCACUGUAGAGGCAGGUGGAAUUCCGGGUGUAGCGGUGGAAUGCGUAAAGAUCCGGAAGAACACCGGUGGCGAAGGCGGCCUGCUGGGCAGUAGCUGACGCUGAUGCGCGACAGCGUGGGGAGCAAACAGGAUUAGAUACCCUAGUAGUCC
RNAcentral lists this ribosomal RNA (779 nucleotides) under uncultured bacterium. RNAcentral's name for it is "bacterial SSU rRNA". It matches the Rfam family "Bacterial small subunit ribosomal RNA", at positions 8 to 796 of the family's 1533-position model. The record is from RNAcentral.